RNAcentral lists this ribosomal RNA (406 nucleotides) under uncultured bacterium. RNAcentral describes it as "partial 16S ribosomal RNA". It matches the Rfam family "Bacterial small subunit ribosomal RNA", at positions 30 to 526 of the family's 1533-position model. The record is from RNAcentral.
AUUGAACGCUGGCGGCAGGCCUAACACAUGCAAGUCGAACGAGUGGCGGACGGGUGAGUAAUGUCUGGGAAACUGACUGAUGGAGGGGGAUAACUACUGGAAACGGUAGCUAAUACCGCAUACCCUCGGAUGUGCCCAGAUGGGAUUAGCUAGUAGGUGGGGUAAAGGCUCACCUAGGCGACGAUCCCUCGCUGGUCUGAGAGGAUGACCAGCUAGACUGGAACUGAGAAACGGGCCAGACUCCUACGGGAGUCAGCAGUGGGUACUAUUGCACGAUGGGCGCAAGCCUGAUGCAGCCAUGCCGCGUGUAUGAAGAAGGCCUUCGGGUUGUAAAGUACUUUCAGCGGGGAGGCGUUACCCGCAGAAGAAGCACCGGCUAACUCCGUGCCAGCAGCCGCGGUAAUUC